GAAAGAAAGAUUAAUACCCGAUGGCAUAGUUCUUCCGCAUGGUGGAACUAUUAAAGAAUUUCGGUCAUCGAUGGGGAUGCGUUCCAUUAGGUUGUUGGCGGGGUAACGGCCCACCAAGCCUUCGAUGGAUAGGGGUUCUGAGAGGAAGGUCCCCCACAUUGGAACUGAGACACGGUCCAAACUCCUACGGGAGGCAGCAGUGAGGAAUAUUGGUCAAUGGACGAGAGUCUGAACCAGCCAAGUAGCGUGAAGGAUGACUGCCCUAUGGGUUGUAAACUUCUUUUAUACGGGAAUAAAGUGAGGCACGUGUGCCUUUUUGUAUGUACCGUAUGAAUAAGGAUCGGCUAACUCCGUGCCAGCAGCCGCGGUAAUACGGAGGAUCCGAGCGUUAUCCGGAUUUAUUGGGUUUAAAGGGAGCGUAGGCGGACGCUUAAGUCAGUUGUGAAAGUUUGCGGCUCAACCGUAAAAUUGCAGUUGAUACUGGGUGUCUUGAGUACAGUAGAGGCAGGCGGAAUUCGUGGUGUAGCGGUGAAAUGCUUAGAUAUCACGAAGAACUCCGAUUGCGAAGGCAGCUUGCUGGACUGUAACUGACGCUGAUGCUCGAAAGUGUGGGUAUCAAACAGGAUUAGAUACCCUGGUAGUCCACACAG
RNAcentral lists this ribosomal RNA (650 nucleotides) under uncultured bacterium. RNAcentral describes it as "bacterial SSU rRNA". It matches the Rfam family "Bacterial small subunit ribosomal RNA", at positions 153 to 802 of the family's 1533-position model. The record is from RNAcentral.